GGGGAAUUGUUCGCAAUGGGCGCAAGCCUGACGACGCAACGCCGCGUGGAGGACGAAGAUCUUCGGGUCGUAAACUCCUUUCGAUCGGGAAGAAUGGCUUCCGGGUGAACAGCCCGGAAGAAUGACGGUACCGAGAGAAGAAGCCCCGGCUAACUCUGUGCCAGCAGCCGCGGUAAUACAGGGGGGGCAAGCGUUGUUCGGAAUUACUGGGCGUAAAGGGCUCGUAGGCGGCCAACUAAGUCCGACGUGAAAUCCCAAGGCUUAACCUUGGAACUGCGUCGGAUACUGGUUGGCUUGAAUUCGGGAGAGGGAUGCAGAAUUCCAGGUGUAGCGGUGAAAUGCGUAGAUAUCGGGAGGAACACCUGUGGCGAAAGCGGCGCACUGGACCACAACUGACGCUGAGGCGCGAAAGCUAGGGGAGCAAAC
RNAcentral lists this ribosomal RNA (426 nucleotides) under uncultured bacterium. RNAcentral describes it as "bacterial SSU rRNA". It matches the Rfam family "Bacterial small subunit ribosomal RNA", at positions 356 to 773 of the family's 1533-position model. The record is from RNAcentral.